GGUUGACCUCGGAUCAGGUAGGAAUACCCGCUGAACUUAAGCAUAUCAAUAAGCGGAGGAAAAGAAACCAACAGGGAUUGCCCUAGUAACGGCGAGUGAAGCGGCAACAGCUCAAAUUUGAAAUCUGGCCCUCGUGGUCCGAAUUGUAAUUUGUAGAGGAUGCUUUUGGUGAGGUGCCUUCCGAGUUCCCUGGAACGGGACGCCAUAGAGGGUGAGAGCCCCGUCUGGUUGGACACCGAGCCUCUGUAAAGCUCCUUCGACGAGUCGAGUAGUUUGGGAAUGCUGCUCUAAAUGGGAGGUAUAUGUCUUCUAAAGCUAAAUAUUGGCCAGAGACCGAUAGCGCACAAGUAGAGUGAUCGAAAGAUGAAAAGCACUUUGAAAAGAGGGUUAAAUAGUACGUGAAAUUGUUGAAAGGGAAGCGCUUGUGACCAGACUUGGGCUUGGUUAAUCAUCCAGGGUUCUCCCUGGUGCACUUGGCCAGCCCAGGCCAGCAUCAGUUCGUCGCGGGGGAUAAAGGCGUUGGGAAUGUGGCUCCCUCGGGAGUGUUAUAGCCCUUCGUGUAAUACCCUGCCUCGGACUGAGGUUCGCGCAUCUGCAAGGAUGCUGGCGUAAUGGUCAUCAGCGACCCGUCUUGAAACACGGACCAAGGAGUCGUCUUCGUAUGCGAGUGUUCGGGUGUCAAACCCCUACGCGGAAUGAAAGUGAACGCAGGUGAGAGCUUCGGCGCAUCAUCGACCGAUCCUGAUGUUCUCGGACGGAUUUGAGUAAGAGCAUACGGGGCCGGACCCGAAAGAAGGUGAACUAUGCCUGUAUAGGGUGAAGCCAGAGGAAACUCUGGUGGAGGCUCGCAGCGGUUCUGACGUGCAAAUCGAUCGUCAAAUAUGGGCAUGGGGGCGAAAGACUAAUCGAACCU
This 913-nucleotide ribosomal RNA is filed under the name Nectria aurantiaca. Its description in RNAcentral is "eukaryotic LSU rRNA". It matches the Rfam family "Eukaryotic large subunit ribosomal RNA", at positions 1 to 942 of the family's 3401-position model. Lineage: Eukaryota; Fungi; Ascomycota; Sordariomycetes; Hypocreales; Nectriaceae. The record is from RNAcentral.